Molecule: long non-coding RNA, 478 nt
Organism: Eriocheir sinensis (Chinese mitten crab)
Lineage: Eukaryota; Metazoa; Arthropoda; Malacostraca; Decapoda; Varunidae
Exons: 2
Source: RefSeq, a predicted model, not a curated record
CCACCAAGCGGGUCGCGCGGUUCUCGGGGCGGCAGCGGGCGGAGGCGGGGCUGGGUGGGGAAGCAAGCGCGUGGCGGCUGACCUACAGAAGCUGGCAGGUCGCGGGCUGAACCUCCUCGCUCGCGGGACCACCGACGGGCGGCUGCGAGGGUUGCGGCGGCGGCUACACGGUCUGAUCCUGGCUUAUCUGCAAGAGAUCCAAAGCCGAGUCCCUUCCAUUGUGGCGCCAAGGACAGUGCGGGCAGCGGGGGCCAGGCCGGUGCUCCAGCCUCCACCUCGCCUGACCUGACCCUCCAUCCAGCCCUCGCCAAAACCUUCCCAUAGCGUAAUAUCCUUUUCCUAUUAACCCUUGCCAAAAUCUUCCCAUAGCGUUAAUAUAGUGUCCUUUUCCAACCAGCCCUUGCCAUAACCUUCCGAUAGCAUUAGUAUAAUGUGCCUCUCCUACCAGCGUUUGUCAAUAAAAAUACUCUCUCUUUGC